Caenorhabditis elegans is the source of this 21-nucleotide non-coding RNA. NCBI's taxonomy places the organism in Eukaryota, Metazoa, Nematoda, Chromadorea, Rhabditida, Rhabditidae. The record is from Ensembl.
UGUAACUCUAAAGGGUCAAAA